UAGGAGCUUGCUCCUGCUGGAUUAGUGGCGAACGGGUGAGUAACACGUGAGCAAUCUGCCCCUGACUCUGGGAUAAGCGUUGGAAACGACGUCUAAUACCGGAUACGAACUGAGAUCGCAUGGUCAUCAGUUGGAAAGAACUUCGGUCAGGGAUGAGCUCGCGGCCUAUCAGCUAGUUGGUGAGGUAAUGGCCCACCAAGGCGACGACGGGUAGCCGGCCUGAGAGGGUGACCGGCCACACUGGGACUGAGACACGGCCCAGACUCCUACGGGAGGCAGCAGUGGGGAAUAUUGCACAAUGGGCGCAAGCCUGAUGCAGCAACGCCGCGUGAGGGACGAAGGCCUUCGGGUUGUAAACCUCUUUUAGCAGGGAAGAAGCGAAAGUGACGGUACCUGCAGAAAAAGCACCGGCUAACUACGUGCCAGCAGCCGCGGUAAUACGUAGGGUGCAAGCGUUGUCCGGAAUUAUUGGGCGUAAAGAGCUCGUAGGCGGUUUGUCGCGUCUGCUGUGAAAAUCCGAGGCUCAACCUCGGACCUGCAGUGGGUACGGGCAAACUAGAGUGCGGUAGGGGAGAUUGGAAUUCCUGGUGUAGCGGUGGAAUGCGCAGAUAUCAGGAGGAACACCAAUGGCGAAGGCAGAUCUCUGGGCCGUAACUGACGCUGAGGAGC
RNAcentral lists this ribosomal RNA (669 nucleotides) under uncultured bacterium. RNAcentral's name for it is "bacterial SSU rRNA". It matches the Rfam family "Bacterial small subunit ribosomal RNA", at positions 73 to 754 of the family's 1533-position model. The record is from RNAcentral.